RNAcentral lists this ribosomal RNA (468 nucleotides) under uncultured bacterium. Its description in RNAcentral is "partial 16S ribosomal RNA". It matches the Rfam family "Bacterial small subunit ribosomal RNA", at positions 28 to 507 of the family's 1533-position model. The record is from RNAcentral.
GAUGAACGCUGGCGGCGUGCUUAACACAUGCAAGUCGAACGGAAAGGCCGAAGCUUGCUUCGGUACUCGAGUGGCGAACGGGUGAGUAACACGUGGGUGAUCUGCCCUGUACUUCGGGAUAAGCUUGGGAAACUGGGUCUAAUACCGGAUAUGACGAUCUCUUGGAUGGGGUUGUGGAAAGCUUUUGCGGUAUGGGAUGAGCUCGCGGCCUAUCAGCUUGUUGGUGGGGUAAUGGCCUACCAAGGCGCCGACGGGUAGCCGGCCUGAGAGGGUGUACGGCCACAUUGGGACUGAGAUACGGCCCAGACUCCUACGGGAGGCAGCAGUGGGGAAUAUUGCACAAUGGGCGCAAGCCUGAGGCAGCGACGCCGCGUGGGGGAUGACGGCCUUCGGGUUGUAAACUCCUUUCGCAAUCGACGAAGCCUUUUGGUGACGGUAGGUUGAGAAGAAGCACCGGCUAACUACGUG